UGAUGGCUUCCUGUGGUCAGGAGACUUCUGGCUGGAGGCUUGACCCCACUUUUCCUGAUGAAUGACCUUUAGAGGUGGCUCCAGGUUCUGCUGGUAGCUGGGAAAGUAGCUACUAAUUGUCCAUGCUUAGAUGCUAUUGACAGAAGGUGUAACAUCUCCCAGGACUUUGGAUUCUGAAAAGGAACUUGAUAAAAACUAAAUGUCUGAUAGCCCAGGGCCUGACACGUGGCCUGGCUCAGAGUGAACUCUUGAGAAACGUUAGUACACUGAAAAACAAUGAAAAAAAAAAAAGAAUGAAGAAAGAAGAGUCAAGGCAGAUCAACCAGGAUCGACGCAUCUGUGUCCCUCAAGUUAAUGACAUUUGAUAAACAACUUCUUUGUCUGUUCCUUCCCUUUGUCUGUAGCCCAGGAGACACAGUGACAGAAGGACAAUGCCUGGGCCUGAGCUGGGGGCUGCAUUCCAUUGCUGCCUCUUCCUGGCACAACCUAUAAUUGUUCU
RNAcentral lists this long non-coding RNA (499 nucleotides) under Homo sapiens (human). RNAcentral describes it as "HSALNT0265573". The record is from RNAcentral. Lineage: Eukaryota; Metazoa; Chordata; Mammalia; Primates; Hominidae.